CUAGCGACAGGCUUAACACAUGCAAGUCGACCUGUAACAGGGUGUAGCAAUACACCGCUGACGACCGGCGCACGGGUGAGUAACGCGUAUGCAACCUGCCUUUGACAGAGGGAUAGCCCAUGGAAACGUGGAUUAAUACCUCAUAGUCUCUUUUUCCUUCCUGGGGAAUAGAGUAAAACGAGAGUGGUCAAAGAUGGGCAUGCGUCCUAUUAGGCAGUUGGCGGGGUAACGGCCCACCAAACCGAUGAUAGGUAGGGGUUCUGAGAGGAAGGUCCCCCACACUGGUACUGAGACACGGACCAGACUCCUACGGGAGGCAGCAGUGAGGAAUAUUGGUCAAUGGUCGAGAGACUGAACCAGCCAAGUCGGGUGAGGGAUGACUGCCCUAUGGGUUGUAAACCUCUUUUCUACUGGGAGAAUAAGCCCUAUGUAUAGGGUGAUGACAGUACAGUAGGAAUAAGCAUCGGCUAACUCCGUGCCAGCAGCCGCGGUAAUACGGAGGAUGCGAGCGUUAUCCGGAUUUAUUGGGUUUAAAGGGUGCGUAGGCGGCUUUAUAAGUUAGUGGUAAAAUUUCGGAGCUUCACUCCGGUCCGCCAUUAAAACUGUAGAGCUAGAGAAUGGACGAGGUAGGCGGAAUAAGUUAAGUAGCGGUGAAAUGCAUAGAUAUAACUUAGAACUCCGAUAGCGAAGGCAGCUUACCAGACCAUAACUGACGCUGAUGCACGAGAGCGUGGGUAGCGAACAGGAUUAGAUACCCUGGUAGUCCACGCCGUAAACAAUGCUCACCGGCCCUUAGCGAUAAGACAGUUAGGGGUUAAUUGA
RNAcentral lists this ribosomal RNA (822 nucleotides) under uncultured organism. RNAcentral's name for it is "SSU rRNA". It matches the Rfam family "Bacterial small subunit ribosomal RNA", at positions 36 to 854 of the family's 1533-position model. The record is from RNAcentral.